GCCUCAGUAGCCUAAUGGUAAGGCGUCAGGCUUCUAACCUGAAGAUUGCGGGUUCGAGUCCCGUCUGAGGUG
Emydomyces testavorans is the source of this 72-nucleotide non-coding RNA. The record is from the annotation of a GenBank genome assembly. NCBI's taxonomy places the organism in Eukaryota, Fungi, Ascomycota, Eurotiomycetes, Onygenales, Nannizziopsiaceae.